GACGAACCGUGCGAACGUUGUUCGGAAUCACUGGGCUUAAAGGGCGCGUAGGCGGUUCUCCAAGUCAGGGGUGAAAUCCUGCGGCUUAACCGUAGAAGUGCCUUUGAUACUGGAGAUCUUGAGGGAGGUAGGGGUUCGUGGAACUUCUGGUGGAGCGGUGAAAUGCGUUGAUAUCAGAAGGAACGCCGGUGGCGAAAGCGACGAACUGGAUCUCUUCUGACGCUGAGGCGCGAAAGCUAGGGGAGCAAACGGG
Molecule: ribosomal RNA, 253 nt
Filed under: uncultured bacterium
Lineage: Bacteria
Description: partial 16S ribosomal RNA
Rfam family: Bacterial small subunit ribosomal RNA
Source: RNAcentral